RNAcentral lists this ribosomal RNA (697 nucleotides) under uncultured Bacilli bacterium. RNAcentral describes it as "bacterial SSU rRNA". It matches the Rfam family "Bacterial small subunit ribosomal RNA", at positions 63 to 731 of the family's 1533-position model. The record is from RNAcentral. Lineage: Bacteria; Bacillati; Bacillota; Bacilli.
CGAACGCUUCUUUCCUCCCGAGUGCUUGCACUCAACUGGAAAGAGGAGUGGCGGACGGGUGAGUAACACGUGGGUAACCUACCCAUCAGAGGGGGAUAACACUUGGAAACAGGUGCUAAUACCGCAUAACAGUUUAUGCCGCAUGGCAUAAGAGUGAAAGGCGCUUUCGGGUGUCGCUGAUGGAUGGACCCGCGGUGCAUUAGCCAGUUGGUGAGGUAACGGCUCACCAAGGCCACGAUGCAUAGCCGACCUGAGAGGGUGAUCGGCCACACUGGGACUGAGACACGGCCCAGACUCCUACGGGAGGCAGCAGUAGGGAAUCUUCGGCAAUGGACGAAAGUCUGACCGAGCAACGCCGCGUGAGUGAAGAAGGUUUUCGGAUCGUAAAACUCUGUUGUUAGAGAAGAACAAGGACGUUAGUAACUGAACGUCCCCUGACGGUAUCUAACCAGAAAGCCACGGCUAACUACGUGCCAGCAGCCGCGGUAAUACGUAGGUGGCAAGCGUUGUCCGGAUUUAUUGGGCGUAAAGCGAGCGCAGGCGGUUUCUUAAGUCUGAUGUGAAAGCCCCCGGCUCAACCGGGGAGGGUCAUUGGAAACUGGGAGACUUGAGUGCAGAAGAGGAGAGUGGAAUUCCAUGUGUAGCGGUGAAAUGCGUAGAUAUAUGGAGGAACACCAGUGGCGAAGGCGGCUCUCUG